UACAGAGGUCCCAAGCGUUGUUCGGAUUCAUUGGGCGUAAAGGGUGCGUAGGCGGCGCGGUAAGUCGGGUGUGAAAUCUCGGGGCUUAACUCCGAAACUGCAUUCGAUACUGCCGUGCUUGAGGACUGGAGAGGAGACUGGAAUUUACGGUGUAGCGGUGAAAUGCGUAGAUAUCAAGUGGAACACCAGUGGCGAAGGCGAGUCCCUGGACAACUCCUGACACUGAGGCACGAAAGCUAGGGGAGCAAACAGG
This 253-nucleotide ribosomal RNA is filed under the name uncultured bacterium. RNAcentral's name for it is "partial 16S ribosomal RNA". It matches the Rfam family "Bacterial small subunit ribosomal RNA", at positions 524 to 776 of the family's 1533-position model. The record is from RNAcentral.